RNAcentral lists this long non-coding RNA (3069 nucleotides) under Nicotiana tabacum (common tobacco). RNAcentral's name for it is "long non-coding RNA (NTAB_LNC019069)". Lineage: Eukaryota; Viridiplantae; Streptophyta; Magnoliopsida; Solanales; Solanaceae. The record is from RNAcentral.
CCUACCCAAAAACCCUAGAAUAGAUACUAUAUAAAACACGGAUGAAAAGAAACGAGGGGGAUAGACAUAAAAGCUGCGCAAUUUUUCAGAAGAGCCGGACCCUUUUCAUCGUCUUCUGGACAAAAUUAGAAGAAGUAGCGAACAAAAAGCGAAAAAGACCUAAGACAAUGGAAAAUCAGCCGCAAUACACAUGCUAGAGACCCCAAGAUCUUCAUCUUCUUCAUGGAACUUUAGACAGACCCUAGCGCCAUUGUUCCUCCACCACUGAACCACCCAAUACCGUCGUCUUCUCCGGCGAGCUGGCAGGCUGGUAGCCAUGCUUAGCCAUUGACCACUUCUCUCUUCUCCCCCAGCCCAACUCUCAUACCAUAUCCUAAAACAACCCCCCAGCUGCGGUGAAAAUAGUUCAAAACGACCACCUUCCACUCCAUUUUGACGGCAGGGAUCCAGCUAAAGAACACCAUGUAAACCAGCUGUAAAUCACUCUUAUACCUGCUGAAAAACACCAUGAAAAGCAACUUCAAAAUAACUCCAGCAGUCAAGGUUUAGCUAAGGUCGAUCGAGAUUGCCGUUCGAAUUUCCGGUCAAAGGCGUCCAAGCCAUUUUUGUUGUUCGCUGCUCAAGUUUUGUCGGCUUUAUUCUGCUGUAAAUCUCACUUGGAGUUGUCUACUAGAUCAAGACAUGGAAAAUUAUUUGGCUUAAAUGUUUUGUUGUGCGCUUCUGAGAAUGAGAGAUUGUGAUGACACUGGAAUAGAAAGUUUUAAUGCUUUUGCUAUGGAAUCUACGUUAUCAGGUACUAUGGGUUUCUUCCUAAUCCUGUUGAUUAAUUGUUUUAUGGUUUGUUUCUGUAUGUUUAUCAUGCUAAUAGUUGGAUGGUUUUUGUUUACUGUUAUUUAAGUUGGGCUUCGUAUGUUUUUUUAUCAUCUUUUUGGUGCAAUGUUAUUUUUGUUUAUGUAAGAUUAAUUCCUUAAAAAUGUUUUUUUUUACUUGGCAACAUAAGUUGUGUUUUAGACUAGUCGUAGCUUGUUUUAGGUACGUUAAUUAAAUAAAUCAUCAUAGUUACGGGUACGGUUCCUNNNNNNNNNNNNNNNNNNNNNNNNNGUGACGUAGUUGUGGUAUUAAAUUUCGAAUUAGCUUUAAAUAUGAAUAUCUUCAAUUCGUUUAGUUGAGUAGAUUUCGAGGCGUGCCAUUUAGCAAAUUCUCAUGGCCCUCACUUAAUUAAUUUUAAUCCUUUAGAAGUCGAAGUGUGUCAUUAGUUGAAUUCUCCCUGGCAUGCGCAAAUUUAAAAGGCGUAGUUGCUUUAGGUACGAUUUUAAUAAAAUUACAUUCUUAAAACUCGGGUGCGCAUUGAUGCGACCCAAAUCCAAAUCUCAACGGAGUCAAAAUGUAUUAACAACCACGGGUGCAUUGAUUACGACAUGGUUCGAGACACAUUUCACGACGUUGCAAUUCUUUUUUUAAAAAAAUAAUUAUAAUAAAAGCGGUUCAAAAUUAAAUAAAAGGCACAUAAGCUAGCAUGUGUUAAAAUCAGAUAAAAUCAAAAACAACAGUUGAGCGACCGUGCUAGAACCACGGAGCCCGGGAAUGCCUAACACCUUCUCCCGGAUUAACAGAAUUCCUUACUCGGAUUUCUGGUUCGCGGACUGUUAACAGAGUCAUAAAUUUUCUCGGUUCGGGAUUCAACCGGUGACUUAGGACACCAUUAAUAUCCCAAGUGGCGACUCUAAAUAAUUAAUAAUUAAAUCCCAUUUCGAUUGUCCUUUAAUUGGAAAAACUCCUUUACGCCCCUGCGGGUGUAGGUGAAAAAGGAGGUGUGACACUAGUAUUUCACGAGUAUGGUCAUUGUUGGGCCACGAUGAGUUUGGCCGAACAGUAGCACUCUUUUCUUUUAUCAUGUAAAUAAUCUCAUAUUUAUCCUUGAUUUUAACUCUUCGUGAACUAAGUGAAAUCUAAUAUCAAAAUACUCCCCAAAAAAAAUAAAAAUUACCUCCGUUCUUACCUAUGAUUUAAAAUUAUCUUUCGUCGUACUUCAGAUUGGAACUUGGAGUCAAAAAUAAAUAUAAAAUGAUUUUUCUAUCAAUAUGGGCUCGUUUGAUACAAGGGAUAAAGGAUAAUUAGUCCCGAAAUUAAAUUUGAGAUGAGUUUAUCCCACAUUUGGUUGGGAUAAAAUCGUGGUAUACCUAAUCCCAAGAUUAGUUAUCCCAAGAUUGUAGUAUUUUUUUAAUUCUUAUGGGAGAAUGGGAUAACUAACCCCGAGAUAAUUAAUUAUGGGAUAAUUUGUUUCCCAACCAAACGCCCCAAGGGUACAAAUGGUGCCAAAUUGCAAAGGAAGGAAAAAUUACUCCCUCCAUCGCAUUUUAUAUGGCCCGGUGUUGCUAGACACAAUGUUUACGAAAGAAAAAUAAAAUAGAAUUUAUAAUGUAAAACAAGUCAUUGAAUAACAACUUAUCUCAUUUAUACUAAGCCAAUUAAUGCAAGAUAUAUGUAUUUCAUAUAUACAUUUUAUUACUUACUCAUAAUUAAUUAAAAUAUAUUUACUCUCAUUUUGAUUUUUAAUUACAACAGUUAAAUAGUUUAAUUUGUUUAGGUGUAAAUACAUUGUUUUAAAAUAUUAAAAUAUAUUAUUCUCUUUUGAAACAAACUAAGAAGAAAAAUAUGACAUAUAAAUUAAGAUAAAAUGGUUAAGAUAUGUGAAGUAGUAGAUGAGUUAUGAAUGUUGACCCUUUUUUCUCUCAUUUAAUCAUUUUCUCUUUAUACUAGUUCAAGGCUUCAAGCAGUAGUUAUUUCCAUGGGUGAUGGUGAUGGUCCAAAAUUCAAAACCAACUCCUUACGGGGCGGAGGCAGAAGUUGAGCUAUAAGUUCAAUUGCAUUUAAGAGUUUUUGUUCAAAUAGUGUAUUUUGUGAUAAGAGAUUCAUUAAAUAUGUACAAAUAUUAAAUGUAGAACUCAAUCAUUAAUACUUGAAGUUGUCAUUCUAUAAUCCAGAAUCUAUAUGUCACGAUCCGGAUUUCUUACCCUCGGGAGUCGUGAUGGCGCAUACUAGUGAAAGCUAGGCAAGCCGACCAUUUGC